Long non-coding RNA from Cyprinus carpio carpio, 723 nucleotides. Lineage: Eukaryota; Metazoa; Chordata; Actinopteri; Cypriniformes; Cyprinidae. The record is from Ensembl.
CCUUAACAGGAUCGCAGAUGUCUCAGCCACAGACCCAGUCUGACCAUCAGAUCCAAACCCAAACCCAUCCUGACCAGCAGAUCGAGACCCAGCCUGACCAGCAGGUCCAGACCCAGCCUGACCAGCAGAUCCACACUAAAGCUCAGCAGAUUGAUGAUGGUGUCAUCCUCAACCUCUACUUUUUGCCCUCUCCACCCCAGACUCACCCUGAAGCUCAGCAGCUCCAGAUUAAGGCUGAAGGCCAUACUCAACCCCAGCCCCAUCCUCAGCAUAAACCUAUCCUACCAAAGCCCCGUAAAAGAAAACAAGAGUCCCAACCCCCAGAGUCUCCGGUCCACCAUCAGCCCCAGAUACAGGGCCAGCCCCAGCCUCAGCAAAUUCAGCUGCUGACUGCCAAGCCAAACCCCAAAAAAAAAAAAAAUGGUAAAGUAAACUUUCUUGCAGCCAAUCUCUUAUGCAGAAUUCAUUACGGUUUGCAUAAACACUAUGUACUUUCUGAUGUAAUACUAGUGAAAAGAGCUUUAUUGGCACUACUAGAAAAUUGCAAUUGGUGUUUGAUGACAUUACAGUAAGCAAUGCCAUGCUGUAAAGGUGAAGUGAAUUUUCUUAUUGGCCAAUUUAUAAUUUAUUUAUUUAUAUUUUUGUAAUUAGGCAAAUACUUUUGUCAUCAGAUGAAUUGGUUCUGUUUGAUUUAGAUAAUUUUGAUACAACAGUUAGGUCAAG